RNAcentral lists this long non-coding RNA (211 nucleotides) under Gossypium barbadense (sea-island cotton). Its description in RNAcentral is "long non-coding RNA (GBAR_LNC016542)". The record is from RNAcentral. Lineage: Eukaryota; Viridiplantae; Streptophyta; Magnoliopsida; Malvales; Malvaceae.
UCCUCCUUUCUUUGUUUGCCUCUCUCCUUAGCCUCCUCUUAUUUUUUUCUCUCUUCUUUUUUUUGCUUGUGUCACCACCGCCACCUUGUACCGAGCCGACGCCAUAACUAUUUUCCUUGUCUUCACUUCUCUUCUCCCCAUUCUUCUUCAUCUUUCAUAUUUUUCUCUUCUUCUCCUUUUUCUCCCUUUUUCACCACCAACAUGCUCUUUU